UCUGACGGAGCACGCCGCGUGAGUGAUGAAGGUUUUCGGAUCGUAAAGCUCUGUUGUUAGGGAAGAACAAGUACCGUUCGAAUAGGGCGGUACCUUGACGGUACCUAACCAGAAAGCCACGGCUAACUACGUGCCAGCAGCCGCGGUAAUACGUAGGUGGCAAGCGUUGUCCGGAAUUAUUGGGCGUAAAGGGCUCGCAGGCGGUUCCUUAAGUCUGAUGUGAAAGCCCCCGGCUCAACCGGGGAGGGUCAUUGGAAACUGGGGAACUUGAGUGCAGAAGAGGAGAGUGGAAUUCCACGUGUAGCGGUGAAAUGCGUAGAGAUGUGGAGGAACACCAGUGGCGAAGGCGACUCUCUGGUCUGUAACUGACGCUGAGGAGCGAAAGCGUGGGGAGCGAACAGGAUUAGAUACCCUGGUAGUCCACGCCGUAAACGAUGAGUGCUAAGUGUUAGGGGGUUUCCGCCCCUUAGUGCUGCAGCUAACGCAUUAAGCACUCCGCCUGGGGAGUACGGUCGCAAGACUGAAACUCAAAGGAAUUGACGGGGGCCCGCACAAGCGGUGGAGCAUGUGGUUUAAUUCGAAGCAACGCGAAGAACCUUACCAGGUCUUGACAUCCUCUGACAAUCCUAGAGAUAGGACGUCCCCUUCGGGGGCAGAGUGACAGGUGGUGCAUGGUUGUCGUCAGCUCGUGUCGUGAGAUGUUGGGUUAAGUCCCGCAACGAGCGCAACCCUUGAUCUUAGUUGCCAGCAUUCAGUUGGGCACUCUAAGGUGACUGCCGGUGACAAACCG
Molecule: ribosomal RNA, 790 nt
Filed under: Bacillus mojavensis
Lineage: Bacteria; Bacillati; Bacillota; Bacilli; Caryophanales; Bacillaceae
Description: bacterial SSU rRNA
Rfam family: Bacterial small subunit ribosomal RNA
Source: RNAcentral